GCCCAUUAGCAAGCCCCCAAACCAAAAACAACCUACCAAUAUUUAUAAACCCAAAAUCACAAAACCAAACACUAAACAAACCAUUUUUCCCCCUAAGUUUGGGCGACAUAAAAGGAACUGAAGAGCAGAACAGAAUGUACCGCAAGGGAAUGCUGA
RNAcentral lists this ribosomal RNA (156 nucleotides) under Terapon jarbua (Jarbua terapon). RNAcentral's name for it is "partial 16S ribosomal RNA". Lineage: Eukaryota; Metazoa; Chordata; Actinopteri; Centrarchiformes; Terapontidae. The record is from RNAcentral.